GUCCCUUCGGAGACAUCCGAUAAAAUUGGAACGAUAAAAAAAGAGUAGCAUGGCUCCUGCACAAGGAUGACACGCACAAAUAGAAAAAUUGUCCAAAUUUUU
This is a small nuclear RNA of Brassica oleracea var. oleracea, 102 nucleotides long. Lineage: Eukaryota; Viridiplantae; Streptophyta; Magnoliopsida; Brassicales; Brassicaceae. The record is from Rfam.